This is a long non-coding RNA of Canis lupus familiaris (dog), 555 nucleotides long. RefSeq lists it as uncharacterized. The transcript has 2 exons. The record is from RefSeq and is a predicted model, not a curated record. NCBI's taxonomy places the organism in Eukaryota, Metazoa, Chordata, Mammalia, Carnivora, Canidae.
GGGGACCUUCACAGUACCCACGAGCUGCUGAGGAGUCUAGAUGAUUGCAGAUGAUUGCCACAUUCUGUUCAGCAAGAACCGAGCACCCACAAAUGGACACAAGGCCAGGUCAGUGGAAGACCCUAGCAACAUGGUGACCAGAAGGUCUGUUACAUUUCCCAGAAUGGUUCCCAGCGCUGGAGAUAAUUCCUUUUCGGAGAACCUACAUUUCUCACCUGCUGAUUGCAAUUAGCCACUGCCAGCUGGGGCCUGGUGUGCAGCUGAAAAGCUAACAAGAAGUGGAGACCACGCGGAACCCAGGCAGGGCAGAGGAUGUGAAUAAAUAAGGAAUAGUGCCCGUGUGCAGGAGACACUCCCGUGAAUUCAAGGUUUCCCGACCCCCUGGAUGGCCCUCCCUCUUCUGGCUCUGUGCUCCCCCCCCCCUCACUAUUUCUCUUUAUUUGUAUUUGUAUUUUUUUGUCUCUGGCUUUGUAGCCUACACUUAACAUCACAGUCACGAAUUUACCACUAAGUACAUUUUGUUAGGCAAUAAACAGCCUUGGAAGAAAAAUGAAA